ACGAUCGUACUUCUAGGGAUCAGUCCUAUAGUACGUAUCACUAGGACAUCAAACAAAUAGAGAAUUCUAUUAUGAUAUGUUCUAUAUUUUGUUCACAUUUUAUUUGGACAUAUUAUUGCAUUGA
Molecule: small nucleolar RNA, 124 nt
Filed under: Schistosoma mattheei
Lineage: Eukaryota; Metazoa; Platyhelminthes; Trematoda; Strigeidida; Schistosomatidae
Description: Small nucleolar RNA U3
Rfam family: Small nucleolar RNA U3
About the family: Small nucleolar RNAs (snoRNAs) are involved in the processing and modification of rRNA in the nucleolus. There are two main classes of snoRNAs: the box C/D class, and the box H/ACA class. U3 snoRNA is a member of the box C/D class.
Source: Rfam by way of RNAcentral